RNAcentral lists this ribosomal RNA (408 nucleotides) under uncultured Flavobacterium sp. Its description in RNAcentral is "bacterial SSU rRNA". It matches the Rfam family "Bacterial small subunit ribosomal RNA", at positions 1 to 409 of the family's 1533-position model. Lineage: Bacteria; Pseudomonadati; Bacteroidota; Flavobacteriia; Flavobacteriales; Flavobacteriaceae. The record is from RNAcentral.
CUCGGAGUUUGAUCCUGGCUCAGGAUGAACGCUAGCGGCAGGCCUAAUACAUGCAAGUCGAGGGGUAUAGUUCUUCGGAACUAGAGACCGGCGCACGGGUGCGUAACGCGUAUGCAAUCUACCUUUUACAGAGGGAUAGCCCAGAGAAAUUUGGAUUAAUACCUCAUAGUAUGUGAGAAUCGCAUGGUUUUCACAUUAAAGUCACAACGGUAAAAGAUGAGGAUGCGUCCCAUUAGCUAGAUGGUAAGGUAACCGGCUUACCAUGGCGACGAUGGGUAGGGGUCCUGAGAGGGAGAUCCCCCGACACUGGUACUGAGACACGGGACCAGACUCCUACGGGGAGGCAGCAGUGAGGAAUAUUGGACAAUGGGGCGCAAGCCUGAUCCCAGCCCAUGCCGCGUCCAGGAA